This 433-nucleotide ribosomal RNA is filed under the name uncultured bacterium. RNAcentral describes it as "partial 16S ribosomal RNA". It matches the Rfam family "Bacterial small subunit ribosomal RNA", at positions 29 to 507 of the family's 1533-position model. The record is from RNAcentral.
AACGCACGCUGGCGGCAUGCCUAACACAUGCAAGUCGAACGAAGGCUUCGGCCUUAGUGGCGCACGGGUGCGUAACGCGUGGGAAUCUGCCCUUUGGUUCGGAAUAACAGCUGGAAACGGCUGCUAAUACCGGAUGAUGACGAAAGUCCAAAGAUUUAUCGCCAGAGGAUGAGCCCGCGUUGGAUUAGGUAGUUGGUGGGGUAAAGGCCUACCAAGCCGACGAUCCAUAGCUGGUCUGAGAGGAUGAUCAGCCACACUGGGACUGAGACACGGCCCAGACUCCUACGGGAGGCAGCAGUGGGGAGUAUUGGACAAUGGGCGCAAGCCUGAUCCAGCAAUGCCGCGUGAGUGAUGAAGGCGCUAGGGUUGUAAAGCUCUUUUACCCGGGAAGAUAAUGACUGUACCGGGAGAAUAAGCCCCGGCUAACUCCGUG